This 301-nucleotide ribosomal RNA is filed under the name uncultured bacterium. Its description in RNAcentral is "partial 16S ribosomal RNA". It matches the Rfam family "Bacterial small subunit ribosomal RNA", at positions 509 to 809 of the family's 1533-position model. The record is from RNAcentral.
CAGUAGCCGCGGGAAUACGUAGGGUGCAAGCGUUAAUCGGAAUUACUGGGCGUAAAGCGAGCGCAGACGGUUAUUUAAGCAGGAUGUGAAAUCCCCGGGCUUAACCUGGGAACUGCGUUCUGAACUGGAUAGCUAGAGUGUGUCAGAGGGGGGUAGAAUUCCACGUGUAGCAGUGAAAUGCGUAGAGAUGUGGAGGAAUACCGAUGGCGAAGGCAGCCCCCUGGGAUAACACUGACGUUCAUGCUCGAAAGCGUGGGUAGCAAACAGGAUUAGAUACCCCUGUAGUCCCUGUCUCUUAUAA